UGAGCCCAGAUCUUCAGGCGGCCGAAAAGAUCAAAAGUAUCGCCGAAGGAAUGAAACUAUGGCCUCAAAUGGAAUCAUGUGUACUAACAUGCAGGAAAGAAUGUGAUGCAAAAGGCGAUGCCAAUGCUUCAUGUCAUCAGAAAUGCAACAAUGAUUGCACGGAAAAGACUAUUGCAUCAGUCAAGAACUAACUUCCCAUUGAUAAUUGGCCAUGGAAUUAUUAAAGCAGAGAUCGGGAAAAUGAUCGGAUCAAGUAUAAAUUAUUUGAAUAAUUAGCAUUUAACAAGGAAAAUCUAAAUUCCUUGACCCUCUUGUCGUCCAAUUUUAUUGCUUAUUUAUACAAAGGUUUUAUCCUUACAUAUCGUUGUGUGCUUCUUUCAUAAUUGUUGUCAACAACGAGAUCAAUAAAAUUCAUUUAGUUUAAGUGUUUAUUCA
Molecule: long non-coding RNA, 435 nt
Organism: Cucumis sativus (cucumber)
Lineage: Eukaryota; Viridiplantae; Streptophyta; Magnoliopsida; Cucurbitales; Cucurbitaceae
Exons: 2
Source: RefSeq, a predicted model, not a curated record